ACUCCUACGGGAGGCAGCAGUAGGGAAUUUUCCGCAAUGGACGAAAGUCUGACGGAGCAAUGCCGCGUGAGUGAUGAAGGUUUUCGAAUCGUAAAGCUCUGUUGUAAGGGAAGAAUAGCAAGAUAGGAAAUGAUUCUUGUCUGACGGUACCUUACCAGAAAGCCACGGCUAACUACGUGCCAGCAGCCGCGGUAAUACGUAGGUGGCAAGCGUUAUCCGGAAUUAUUGGGCGUAAAGCGCAUGUAGGCGGCUUUUUAAGUCUGAUGUGAAAGCCAGUGGCUCAACCACUGAAUUGCAUUUGAAACUGGCAGGCUAGAGUCUUGUAGAGGGGNGAGAAUUUCAGGUGUAGCGGUGAAAUGCGUAGAGAUCUGAAGGAAUACCAGUGGCGAAGGCGGCCCUCCGUGAUAAAGACUGACGCUCAGAUGCGAAAGCGU
Molecule: ribosomal RNA, 434 nt
Filed under: uncultured bacterium
Lineage: Bacteria
Description: bacterial SSU rRNA
Rfam family: Bacterial small subunit ribosomal RNA
Source: RNAcentral